UUAUCCUCCUGAAACCGAGGAGAAGUACCCUUUUCCAUCACCUCUCGAAGAGAGUACCGCUCCAUCUCUCUAUCGCGAGAUCGAUGGUUCUUGGCGUCAGUGGUCCGUUCUAAUCCGAAACGGUUUCCACGUUGUCCCUAUCCUUGACCGGGGCGAGUAUGGGACUGGGUAUGUUUCUUUUUGUUCUGUUUUUCUAACCGAUAUUUCAGGCUAUCCUUUGCCUUCCAAUUCGGGUAGUUGUUCU
This 244-nucleotide long non-coding RNA is filed under the name Zostera marina. Its description in RNAcentral is "long non-coding RNA (ZMAR_LNC005305)". Lineage: Eukaryota; Viridiplantae; Streptophyta; Magnoliopsida; Alismatales; Zosteraceae. The record is from RNAcentral.